UACAGAGGGUGCGAGCGUUGUUCGGAAUUACUGGGCGUAAAGAGCAUGUAGGCGGUUUAGUAAGUCAGAUGUGAAAUCUCGGGGCUUAACCCCGAACGUGCAUUUGAAACUACUAGGCUCGAGUAUGGUAGAGGAUUGUGGAAUACCCAGUGUAGAGGUGAAAUUCGUAGAUAUUGGGUAGAACACCGGUGGCGAAGGCGGCAAUCUGGGCCAUAACUGACGCUGAGAUGCGAAAGCGUGGGGAGCAAACAGG
This 253-nucleotide ribosomal RNA is filed under the name uncultured bacterium. RNAcentral describes it as "partial 16S ribosomal RNA". It matches the Rfam family "Bacterial small subunit ribosomal RNA", at positions 524 to 776 of the family's 1533-position model. The record is from RNAcentral.